AUUUAUGGUCAUACUACUCUGAACCCAGAAGCUAAGCAGGGUCAGGUCAGGACAGUACUUAGAUGGGAGAGUACCUGGGACUACUGGGUGCUGUAGGCU
Molecule: non-coding RNA, 99 nt
Organism: Papio anubis (olive baboon)
Lineage: Eukaryota; Metazoa; Chordata; Mammalia; Primates; Cercopithecidae
Source: Rfam